GAUGAACGCUGGCGGCGUGCCUAAUACAUGCAAGUCGAGCGAACGGACGAGAAGCUUGCUUCUCUGUUGUUAGCGGCGGACGGGUGAGUAACACGUGGAUACCCUACCUAUAAGACUGGGAUAACUUCGGGAAACCGGCGCUAAUCCCGUAUAAUAUUUUUAACCGCAUGGUUCAGAAGUGAAAGUCGGUCUUGCUGUCACUUAUAGCUGGAUCCCCGCUGCAUUAGCUAGUUGGUAAGGUAACGGCUUACCAAGGCAACGAGGCAUAGCCGACCGGAGAGGGGGAUAGGCCACACGGGAACUGAGACACGGUCCAGACGCCUACGGGAGGCAGCAGUAGGGAACCGGCCGCAAUGGGCGAAAGCAUGACGGAGCAACGGCGAGUGAGAGAUGAAGGUGUUCGGAGCGGAAAACUCGGUUAUUAGGGAAGAACAUAUGUGUAAGGAACUGUGCACAUCGUGACGGUACCUAAUCAGAAAGCCACGGCUAACUACGUG
Molecule: ribosomal RNA, 497 nt
Filed under: uncultured bacterium
Lineage: Bacteria
Description: partial 16S ribosomal RNA
Rfam family: Bacterial small subunit ribosomal RNA
Source: RNAcentral